GUAGGGAAUCUUGCGCAAUGGGCGAAAGCCUGACGCAGCCAUGCCGCGUGAAUGAUGAAGGUCUUAGGAUUGUAAAAUUCUUUCACCGGGGACGAUAAUGACGGUACCCGGAGAAGAAGCUCCGGCUAACUUCGUGCCAGCAGCCGCGGUAAUACGAAGGGGGCUAGCGUUACUCGGAAUUACUGGGCGUAAAGGGCGCGUAGGCGGACAGUUUAGUCAGAGGUGAAAGCCCAGGGCUCAACCUUGGAAUUGCCUUUGAUACUGGCUGUCUUGAGUACGGAAGAGGUGAGUGGAACUCCGAGUGUAGAGGUGAAAUUCGUAGAUAUUCGGAAGAACACCAGUGGCGAAGGCGACUCACUGGCCCGUUACUGACGCUGAGGCGCGAAAGCGUGGGGAGCAAACAGGAUUAGAAACCCGAGUAGUCC
RNAcentral lists this ribosomal RNA (425 nucleotides) under uncultured bacterium. Its description in RNAcentral is "partial 16S ribosomal RNA". It matches the Rfam family "Bacterial small subunit ribosomal RNA", at positions 354 to 796 of the family's 1533-position model. The record is from RNAcentral.